UGGGGAAUAUUGGUCAAUGGGCGCAAGCCUGAACCAGCGACGCCGCGUGAGUGAUGAAGGCCUUCGGGUUGUAAAGCUCUGUGGGGAGAGAAGAAAACAUCUAGGGCGAAUAGGCCUAGAUCUUGACGGUAUCUUCUUAGCAAGCACCGGCUAACUCUGUGCCAGCAGCCGCGGUAAGACAGAGGGUGCAAACGUUGCUCGGAAUUACUGGGCGUAAAGCGCGUGUAGGCGGAUCUUUAAGUCGGGCGUGAAAUCCCUGGGCUCAACCCAGGAACUGCACUCGAAACUGAGGACCUUGAGUAAUGGAGAGGAAAGCGGAAUUCCUGGUGUAGAGGUGAAAUUCGUAGAUAUCAGGAGGAACACCGGUGGCGAAGGCGGCUUUCUGGACAUUUACUGACGCUGAGACGCGAAAGCGUGGGGAGCAAACAGG
Molecule: ribosomal RNA, 430 nt
Filed under: uncultured bacterium
Lineage: Bacteria
Description: bacterial SSU rRNA
Rfam family: Bacterial small subunit ribosomal RNA
Source: RNAcentral